RNAcentral lists this ribosomal RNA (463 nucleotides) under uncultured bacterium. Its description in RNAcentral is "partial 16S ribosomal RNA". It matches the Rfam family "Bacterial small subunit ribosomal RNA", at positions 29 to 507 of the family's 1533-position model. The record is from RNAcentral.
ACGAACGCUGGCGGCGUGCCUAACACAUGCAAGUCGAGCGAAUGAAGUUCCUUCGGGAAUGGAUUUAGCGGCGGACGGGUGAGUAACACGUGGGCAACCUGCCUCAUAGAGGGGAAUAGCCUUCCGAAAGGGAGAUUAAUACCGCAUAAGAUUGUAGUAUCGCAUGAUACAGCAAUUAAAGGAGCAAUCCGCUAUGAGAUGGGCCCGCGGCGCAUUAGCUAGUUGGUGAGGUAACGGCUCACCAAGGCGACGAUGCGUAGCCGACCUGAGAGGGUGAUCGGCCACAUUGGGACUGAGACACGGCCCAGACUCCUACGGGAGGCAGCAGUGGGGAAUAUUGCACAAUGGGGGAAACCCUGAUGCAGCAACGCCGCGUGAGUGAUGACGGCCUUCGGGUUGUAAAGCUCUGUCUUCAGGGACGAUAAUGACGGUACCUGAGGAGGAAGCCACGGCUAACUACGUG